Molecule: long non-coding RNA, 1740 nt
Filed under: Stegodyphus dumicola
Lineage: Eukaryota; Metazoa; Arthropoda; Arachnida; Araneae; Eresidae
Description: uncharacterized LOC118182854
Source: RNAcentral
AAAGCUUUGUGUUAAAUGACGGUAGUUGUUGGUGACGUGAGCUUUAUUCAAUGCAUUUUGAAAAGAUCUAGGUGCUGAACAUAAAAGCUUCAAAUUUUAUCUUCUUCUCCAUUAAUAAAAUUUACUGAAGCUGGGGGAAAAAAAGCAUGCAUAGUGCAACUUUGCAAAGACUGGAAAGAAUUGAAAAAUUUGGCCAAAAUCAAACUUUAUAUACCAAUAUGUAUAAUUUCUCUCACCCCAGUUCUUGUGUAACUCAAAGAUAAAAAUAACUUAUGAGCAGUAAUAUUGAUAAAUUUGAACAGUAAUAUGUAUGAAAUAUGUGUAACUGAACAUUUAGCCAUAGUGAUUGCUUGAAACAGUUACUGUUCACCUCUUCAUCUGUCAUUUGAUGGUAAGAUUCGAACUCGGUAUUACAAAUCAACCAAUCUGCCAUUCAGAUGUAGUCUGUGUUCUUAUUCAACUAACUUCAAAUCAGAUUUAAAGAAGCAUUUAAUAUGUCAUACUGGCCAAAAGCCAUACAAAUGUGAUGUUUGUGGGAAAAUGUUCACUCGGCGAACAAAUUUAAAGCGACAUAGGCAGAAUGUUUAAGUCUUCAUCAAAGAAAGAAGAACCCAUCUUCAUACACAAGUUUAAAAAAGAAAUUUUUGCCUAUUAUUCCCAAUAUGUUUUAUUGCCAGUAUUGCUCAUAUGCAGCUGCAACCAAAUGGAAUUUAAAAGUGCACCUUCUCACACAUACUGGAGAACAACCUCAUGAGUGUGAAAUAUGUGGACGGAGAUUUUCUUUAAAAAUGAAUUUAAAACGUCACAGAAUAGUUCAUUUAAAAAAUGUGGCAUUCUGAUUGUUCUUUUCUCUUUCCCAUUCCCUGAUUUUAGAGUUUUGUUAGCCAGAAAUAUUAGAGAGUUUAAACAAAUUUAUGAUAUUCAAUGGAAUAAGAAAAUGAAUUUAGAAAUUUUUCAAUACUGAUUGAAGUACUAAUUUUGGUACUUUCUGAUUACCCACACCCCACUGAAAAGUUGCAGAAUUCUCUCCGACUUUGAAGAGAAAUAGUUGUUUGAGUAUCUUUAUGUCUAUUUCAACAUUGCAUCCAGUGCUGCCUAUUUUUAUACAUUCAUUAAAAAAUAGCGACUGCUUCACUAUACCUAUUCUCGGUAUAGUGCACCAGUCACGGUAGCGCAGCAGAAGGUGAAACUUCAACAUGCACUCCAAUAUAAUAAAAAUAAAAGACAAAAAAUUGCACAGUUCCAUUACUAUUUGUGGCAAAGUAAGCGAAUAUACUCAAAGCAAAAAGAAAUACAAAUCAGAAAAAUUAUCCUUGAAUUUGAAAUCCACAUGUAAGUAUGUGCAUACCUGGGUUGCCGCAUAAAUACUUUUUGAUGCCAUGGCACAUUGGUGCAUCAGUACUUUUUAGCAGCUUUUUUCGGUAAAGGUGUGGUAAUCAAAGUACCAUAAUUUUUUAGUUUCAGAGAAAGUUUUUUAUUUUAGAAGCAGACAGCUUUCCAUUUAAUGUCAAAAAACAUAAAUUUGCCAGUAUUUCUAUUAAUUAGGCCUCAUUUAAUGAGCAUAAAAAGAGCUUUAUAUAAAUACCUGGUAUUUUAGGGAAUGAAUAUUACAAGAAAUACAGAGGCUGUUCAGAUAUUUUUUUUAGACGAUUAUAGUUGGUUAUAAAAAAAAAUAGUAUACUUAGAAAUUUUUUUAACUGUAACUAUAUUUUUCAAAGUAUGAAUUAUCAUCUGCUACUA